Molecule: ribosomal RNA, 584 nt
Filed under: Trechus fulvus
Lineage: Eukaryota; Metazoa; Arthropoda; Insecta; Coleoptera; Carabidae
Description: partial 16S ribosomal RNA
Rfam family: Bacterial large subunit ribosomal RNA (bases 342-500)
Source: RNAcentral
AAUGGCUGCAGUAAUUUGACUGUACAAAGGUAGCAUAAUCAUUAGUUUUUUAAUUAAAAGCUUGUAUGAAAGGUUGGACGAAAUAAAAUCUGUCUCUUUUUAAUAUAAUUAGAAUUUAAUUUUUAAGUUAAAAAGCUUAAAUAAAUUUAAAAGACGAGAAGACCCUAUAGAGUUUAAUAAUUUUUUUUUUUUUAAUUAAUUUAGAUUUAUUUAUUUUAUUUUAAAAAAAUUAUUUUAUUGGGGUAAUAGAAAGAUUAAAAUAAUUCUUUUUUAAAAAAAUCAUUAAUUUAUGAAAAUUUAUGAUCCAUUGAAUUUUGAUUAUAAGAUUAAAUUACCUUAGGGAUAACAGCGUAAUUUUUUUUAAGAGUUCAUAUCGAUAAAAAAGUUUGCGACCUCGAUGUUGGAUUAAAGAUUAAUUUAGGUGUAGAAGUUUAAAUUUUUGGUCUGUUCGACCAUUAAAUCUUUACAUGAUCUGAGUUCAAACCGGUGUAAGCCAGGUUGGUUUCUAUCUUUAAAAAAAAUUUAAUAUUUUAGUACGAAAGGACCAGAUAUUAUAUAUAUUAAUAUUUAAGUUAUUGAAUAUU